UACAGAGGUCUCAAGCGUUGUUCGGAUUCAUUGGGCGUAAAGGGUGCGUAGGCGGCGCGGUAAGUCGGGUGUGAAAUCUCGGGGCUUAACUCCGAAACUGCAUUCGAUACUGCCGUGCUUGAGGACUGGAGAGGAGACUGGAAUUUACGGUGUAGCGGUGAAAUGCAUUGAGAUCGGAAAGAACACCAACGGCGAAAGCACUCUGCUGGGCCGACACUGACACUGAGAGACGAAAGCUAGGGGAGCAAAUGGG
RNAcentral lists this ribosomal RNA (253 nucleotides) under uncultured bacterium. Its description in RNAcentral is "partial 16S ribosomal RNA". It matches the Rfam family "Bacterial small subunit ribosomal RNA", at positions 524 to 776 of the family's 1533-position model. The record is from RNAcentral.